Molecule: transfer RNA, 74 nt
Rfam family: tRNA
About the family: Transfer RNA (tRNA) molecules are approximately 80 nucleotides in length. Their secondary structure includes four short double-helical elements and three loops (D, anti-codon, and T loops).
Source: Rfam
GGCAAGGUAGCUCAGUUGGUUAGAGCACAGCACUCAUAAUGCUGGGGUCGGCAGUUCGAAUCUGCCCCUUGCUA